RNAcentral lists this ribosomal RNA (406 nucleotides) under uncultured bacterium. RNAcentral's name for it is "partial 16S ribosomal RNA". It matches the Rfam family "Bacterial small subunit ribosomal RNA", at positions 30 to 526 of the family's 1533-position model. The record is from RNAcentral.
AUUGAACGCUGGCGGCAGGCCUAACACAUGCAAGUCGAACGAGUGGCGGACGGGUGAGUAAUGGCUGGGAAACUGCCUGAUGGAGGGGGAUAACUACUGGAAACGGUAGCUCAUACCGCAUACCAUCAGAUUCGCCCAGAUGGGAUUAGCUUGUUGGUGGGGUAACGGCUCACCAAGGCGACGAUCCCUAGCUGGUCUGAGAGGAUGACCAGCCACACUGGGACUGAGACACGGUCCAGACUCCUACGGGAGGCAGCAGUUGGGAAUAGUGAGCAAUGGGCGCAAGCCUGAAGCAGCCAUGCCGCGUGUAUGAAGAAGGCCUUCGGGUUGUAAAGUACUUUCAGCUGGGAGGCGUUACCCGCAGAAGAAGCACCGGCUAACUCCGGGCCAGCAGCCGCGGUAAUUC